GAUUCGAUGACUGAUAAUAGUGGUAGAUUUUUAAUCUAUUUAUGAGUUUUAACUCUCGAGUUA
This 63-nucleotide transfer RNA is filed under the name Protaeolidiella atra. RNAcentral's name for it is "tRNA-Lys". Lineage: Eukaryota; Metazoa; Mollusca; Gastropoda; Nudibranchia; Aeolidiidae. The record is from RNAcentral.